RNAcentral lists this ribosomal RNA (1363 nucleotides) under Psychrobacter sp. 1EB2. Its description in RNAcentral is "bacterial SSU rRNA". It matches the Rfam family "Bacterial small subunit ribosomal RNA", at positions 75 to 1434 of the family's 1533-position model. The record is from RNAcentral. Lineage: Bacteria; Pseudomonadati; Pseudomonadota; Gammaproteobacteria; Moraxellales; Moraxellaceae.
CUAGCUUGCUAGAAGAUGACGAGCGGCGGACGGGUGAGUAAUACUUAGGAAUCUACCUAGUAGUGGGGGAUAGCACGGGGAAACUCGUAUUAAUACCGCAUACGACCUACGGGAGAAAGGGGGCAGUUUACUGCUCUCGCUAUUAGAUGAGCCUAAGUCGGAUUAGCUAGAUGGUGGGGUAAAGGCCUACCAUGGCGACGAUCUGUAGCUGGUCUGAGAGGAUGAUCAGCCACACCGGGACUGAGACACGGCCCGGACUCCUACGGGAGGCAGCAGUGGGGAAUAUUGGACAAUGGGGGAAACCCUGAUCCAGCCAUGCCGCGUGUGUGAAGAAGGCCUUUUGGUUGUAAAGCACUUUAAGCAGUGAAGAAGACUCUGUGGUUAAUACCCACAGACGAUGACAUUAGCUGCAGAAUAAGCACCGGCUAACUCUGUGCCAGCAGCCGCGGUAAUACAGAGGGUGCAAGCGUUAAUCGGAAUUACUGGGCGUAAAGGGAGCGUAGGUGGCUCGAUAAGUCAGAUGUGAAAUCCCCGGGCUCAACCUGGGAACUGCAUCUGAUACUGUCGUGCUAGAGUAUGUGAGAGGAAGGUAGAAUUCCAGGUGUAGCGGUGAAAUGCGUAGAGAUCUGGAGGAAUACCGAUGGCGAAGGCAGCCUUCUGGCAUAAUACUGACACUGAGGCUCGAAAGCGUGGGUAGCAAACAGGAUUAGAUACCCUGGUAGUCCACGCCGUAAACGAUGUCUACUAGUCGUUGGGUCCCUUGAGGACUUAGUGACGCAGCUAACGCAAUAAGUAGACCGCCUGGGGAGUACGGCCGCAAGGUUAAAACUCAAAUGAAUUGACGGGGGCCCGCACAAGCGGUGGAGCAUGUGGUUUAAUUCGAUGCAACGCGAAGAACCUUACCUGGUCUUGACAUAUCUAGAAUCCUGCAGAGAUGCGGGAGUGCCUUCGGGAAUUAGAAUACAGGUGCUGCAUGGCUGUCGUCAGCUCGUGUCGUGAGAUGUUGGGUUAAGUCCCGCAACGAGCGCAACCCUUGUCCUUAGUUACCAGCGGGUUAAGCCGGGAACUCUAAGGAUACUGCCAGUGACAAACUGGAGGAAGGCGGGGACGACGUCAAGUCAUCAUGGCCCUUACGACCAGGGCUACACACGUGCUACAAUGGUAGGUACAGAGGGCAGCUACACAGCGAUGUGAUGCGAAUCUCAAAAAGCCUAUCGUAGUCCAGAUUGGAGUCUGCAACUCGACUCCAUGAAGUAGGAAUCGCUAGUAAUCGCGGAUCAGAAUGCCGCGGUGAAUACGUUCCCGGGCCUUGUACACACCGCCCGUCACACCAUGGGAGUUGAUUGCACCAGAAGUGGAUAGC